CACGUAGGCGGAUAUUUAAGUCAGGGGUGAAAUCCCGGGGCUCAACCCCGGAGCUGCCUUUGAUACUGGGUAUCUUGAGUCCGAGAGAGGUGAGUGGAAUUCCGAGUGUAGAGGUGAAAUUCGUAGAUAUUCGGAGGAACACCAGUGGCGAAGGCGGCUCACUGGCUCGGUACUGACGCUGAGGUGCGAAAGCGUGGGGAGCAAACA
This 207-nucleotide ribosomal RNA is filed under the name uncultured bacterium. RNAcentral's name for it is "partial 16S ribosomal RNA". It matches the Rfam family "Bacterial small subunit ribosomal RNA", at positions 568 to 774 of the family's 1533-position model. The record is from RNAcentral.